ACGCUCGACACCUACGGAGGCAGCAGUCGGGAAUAUUGCGCAAUGGAGGAAACUCUGACGCAGUGACGCCGCGUAUAGGAAGAAGGUUUUCGGAUUGUAAACUAUUGUCGUUAGGGAAGAGAAAGGACAGUACCUAAGGAGGAAGCUCCGGCUAACUACGCGCCANCACGCCGAGUAUNGNGGCGGNGNGAGAG
Molecule: ribosomal RNA, 194 nt
Filed under: uncultured bacterium
Lineage: Bacteria
Description: partial 16S ribosomal RNA
Rfam family: Bacterial small subunit ribosomal RNA
Source: RNAcentral